AGGACAAACGUUGGCGGUGCGUCUUAGACAUGCAAGUCGAGCGUGAAAGCCCGCAAGGGUGAGUAAAGCGGCGAACGGGUGAGUAAUACUUGGGUAACGUACCUUUUAGAUUGGGAUAACGCGCCGAAAGGCGUGCUAAUACCAGAUAUGACCACGAUCUCUUUGGAGGUUGAGGUAAAAGAUGGCGCAAGCUAUCACUAGAAGAUCGGCUCAAGCACCAUUAGCUAGUUGGCGGGGUAAUGGCCCACCAAGGCUACGAUGGUUAGCCGGCCUGAGAGGGUGAUCGGCCACACUGGGACUGAGAUACGGCCCAGACUCCUACGGGAGGCAGCAGUUUGGAAUAUUCCACAAUGGGCGCAAGCCUGAUGGAGCGACACCGCGUGAAGGAUGAAGGUCUUCGGAUCGUAAACUUCUUUAGACCUAGAUGAAGAUUGCAAGGUAAAUAAUCUUGCAAUUUGACAGUAUAGGUAGAAUAAGCCACGGCUAACUCUGUG
RNAcentral lists this ribosomal RNA (494 nucleotides) under uncultured bacterium. RNAcentral describes it as "SSU rRNA". It matches the Rfam family "Bacterial small subunit ribosomal RNA", at positions 26 to 507 of the family's 1533-position model. The record is from RNAcentral.